UUUUGUUUCAGAAUCUGCUGCGUCACUCGUCGGUUGGGGAGCGGAAGUGUGUCAUUUUUCAAGUUGCAGCUCUGAAGAAGAAACUUUGGAACCGUUUUCUGUCCGGCUGCUUCUGAUGAGAACAAAUCCAAGAAUAAAAAGAUAAAAUACACACAGCGUGGAGCAAAGAAACUGAAGAAGGACUCCUGUCUGAGUGCAACACAUCAAUCAUGGUGGAGAACCCGUCCGGAUUACCUUGGGUUCUGUUGGUACCUGGAGGUUUUGCGCCUCAUCAUUGAUGUUCAGUGUGGAACUGGGGGCUCCGUCUACAACCUGGAUGUCCCGGUGUUUAACUAUCUGUGCUACCCAUCGAUCCGUCCUACCCUGUGACGCGCACAUCGCUGCUACGUCACAAUCUGCUGACUCAGCAGAUUUCUCCUCAUCCUUCCUGUGGAAGUUUCGUUUCGUCUGUUUUAUUUCGUCGAAGAUUAAGAAGUUGCUGAGCCGAAAGUUUGUCAGAAGAAAGUUGCCGUGUCGUGAUGGAGGUCAGGUGACUGGAGACGCCACCGUCACCUUUAAUUAGCCCACUUCCGGUCCCUCAGCGGGGAGAUUAGAGAGAUCGCUCUCUGGAGUCGGGAGCGGCUCGCUGGCUUAACGGGUUUCCCAGGCGGAGGGGGGCGCAGAGGAAGAGGAGAGGAUCCAGGUAGGUGCCAAGUCUCCGGGCUGGAGGCGGGGAUCAGUCCAUGAUUCGAGCCUUGGCUUGAUGGGCUCCGGGCCGGAUCCAAACCGACAAUCGGGAUCAACAAGUGGGGACCAUCGAGCGAUGACAGACAGCUCCGCCGCUUCUUAUGAGGUCAGCAGCCGAUUGGUGGAAUCCGCUUCAGGUCGGGUCUUCUGGACCCGGUGACCCCGUCGGAUCUUCUGGACUGGAGUCAUUAUUUAAUAGACAAUGAUGAAGAGGAGCUGAUUGUGAUGAUGAAGAU
This is a long non-coding RNA of Gambusia affinis (western mosquitofish), 962 nucleotides long. RefSeq lists it as uncharacterized. The transcript has 6 exons. The record is from RefSeq and is a predicted model, not a curated record. NCBI's taxonomy places the organism in Eukaryota, Metazoa, Chordata, Actinopteri, Cyprinodontiformes, Poeciliidae.